UAAAUAAAGGUUUUGGAUAAAAAUAUCUCGAAUUGGGGAGGGCUAGGAAGGUAUAAAUUUUACUGUUAAAUAAUUAUUUAUAAUACUUUUCUUGUGAUUAUACGUUAGUCGUUCUUUAAUAUAUCUAGUUUUUUUAGAAAUUAAUUUAAUUGAGCUGAUUUGUAAUUUAUUUUUUUAUGAAAUUUAUUUUGAGGUCAAGUAAUACUAAGAGGGAUAAGCUUUUUAGUAAAUUACUAAAAUAUUAAUUUGUUUUGAUUUGUAAUAGGAAUAGAAGUUUUCAUUUUUUAUAGUGAGUUGUUUCAAGAAUUUGAUUGAGAUGAUUUGUUUAGAUUUAGGUUUUUUAUAAGAAUAGGGAAUUUAAUUUUGAAUUUUGUGGGAUAAUGAUUGAAUUAGUAUAUUGAAAUGUUUAUUAUGGAUUUAUGGUUGAGAGAUUUAAUUAAGGAAUUCGGCAAAUAUAUUUCUUGCCUGUUUAUUAAAAACAUGGCCUUUUGAUAAUGAUUUAAGGUCUGGCCUGCCCAAUGAGGUGUUAAAUGGCCGCGGUAUUCUGACCGUGCAAAGGUAGCAUAAUCAUUAGUUUUUUAAUUGAAAGCUAGUAUGAACGGUCGGACAAGGAAGUAGCUGUCUUUAUUUGAAGAGUAGAAUUUAAUUUUUUAGUAAGAAAGCUAAAAUAGGUUUAAGGGACGAGAAGACCCUAUAGAAUUUUAUAAGUUAUAUAUAAAUUGAUUUUAGGAUUAUUUAUUUGACUUGUGUAUUACUUAUUUUGUUGGGGUGAUGGAAAAAUUUAUACAACUUUUUUUAGUUUAUGUUUACUGAUUUGUAAUUUGUUGAUCCAUAUUUAGUGAUUAUAAGAUUAAAUUACCUUAGGGAUAACAGCGUAAUUGAUUUGGAGAGUUCUUAUCGAUAGAUUAGUUUGCGACCUCGAUGUUGGAUUAAAAUGAACUUUUGGUGUAGGAGCUAUUAGGUUAAGUCUGUUCGACUUUUAAAAUUUU
The sequence is a ribosomal RNA, 989 nucleotides long. The stretch from base 396 to 989 matches the Rfam family "Archaeal large subunit ribosomal RNA", at positions 1423 to 2666 of the family's 2987-position model.